CCUACGGGACGCAGCAGUGAGGAAUAUUGGUCAAUGGGCGGGAGCCUGAACCAGCCAUGCCGCGUGAAGGCGAGUGCCCUACGGGCGUUAAACUUCUUUUGUGCGGGAGCAAUAAGGGCCACGUGUGGCCCGAUGAGAGUACCGCACGAAUAAGCAUCGGCUAACUCCGUGCCAGCAGCCGCAGUAAUACGGGGGAUGCGAGCGUUAUCCGGAUUUAUUGGGUUUAAAGGGUGCGCAGGCGGAAUGUCAAGUCAGCGGUAAAAUUUCGGGGCUCAACCCCGUCGUGCCGUUGAAACUGGCGUUCU
This 305-nucleotide ribosomal RNA is filed under the name uncultured bacterium. RNAcentral's name for it is "bacterial SSU rRNA". It matches the Rfam family "Bacterial small subunit ribosomal RNA", at positions 338 to 642 of the family's 1533-position model. The record is from RNAcentral.